CCGAGACACAGCGUUAAGAGUUGGUGCAGCUGAGGGGCGCCCUGUGGCUCAGUUGGUUAAGCGACUGACUUCAGCUCGGGUCAUGAUCUCGCCAUCUAAUAAGGAAGUUUUCUCUUAUGAUACCUGUGACGUAUAGAAAUAUGAUAAAAUAUUCCUUUGCAAACAAAUUGAAACCUCUAACUUGUCUCCCUACAUGAACCCUCCAGAAUUCAGAAACUCUCAAGAGUGCAUGCACAAAUGGGGGAGGAGCAGAGUGAGAAGAAGAGAGAGAAUCCCAAGCAGGCUCCAUGCUGUCAGUGCCAAGUCCAACGGAGGGCUCAGUCCUAUGAACCAUGAGAUCAUGACCUGAGCCAGAAAUCAAGAGUUGGACACCCAACCGACUGAGCCACCCAGGUGCCCCACAAUUUGUUUAAUUUUCCCUUUAUUUCUUUCAUUUGUCUAACUGCACUACUAUGGUUUUCUUUAUGUUAUUCAAUAUAGUAAUGAUAGUGAGCAUA
Long non-coding RNA from Herpailurus yagouaroundi (jaguarundi), 497 nucleotides. RefSeq lists it as uncharacterized. The record is from RefSeq and is a predicted model, not a curated record. Lineage: Eukaryota; Metazoa; Chordata; Mammalia; Carnivora; Felidae. The transcript has 3 exons.